CCAGUUCAGGUAUUUACAUUGAGAACUAGAGAGAUAAACUUCAUUUGGCACCUUGUGAUCUAUCAGACAGUGUUUCCAUAUAGAUAAAAUUAAAGAGAUUAACAGCUCUGGUAUCAAUAGGAUGAUGCUCCUGCCGAUAAUCAUACUUUUAGCUGUUUCCCCUGUCAGGUCCCAGUCUUCAAGCAUUUCAUCCUUUUUCAGCUCAAUAAGCAACUUGCUAGUUUCUGCAUUACAACUCAGCGAGCAAAUCAGCAGUGGGAUAUCUGUUACUGAACCGACACAGACCAAUGAUACGACAGCAUCUUAUACUUACAACAAUAACCAAAGUCAACCAACCAGUACCCAACUGACAUCUUCUAGCCCAAAUAACAAUACCCUGUCAGUAAAUACCAGUAUCCCAGUGAACAACUCCAGUACAGGAACCAGUACCCAAUCAGUACCACCCAGUAUCCCAGUGACCAACUCCAGUGCAGGAACCAGUACCCAAUCAGUACCACCCAGUAUCCAAGUGACCAACUCCAGUACAAGAAUCAGUACCCAAUCAGUACCAACCAGUAUCCCAGUGACCAACUCCAGUACAGGAAUCAGUACCCAAUCAGUACCACCCAGUAUCCCAGUGACCAACUCCAGUACAGGAAUCAGUACCCAAUCUGUACCACCCAGUAUCCCAGUAACCAACUCCAGUACAGGAACCAGUAACCUGUCAGGACAAGCCAACGUCUCAGUUACCAAAUUCAGUACCUUAUUCCAACCAAGCGGAAACAACUUCAUAACUUUAUAUAUAACCUCAGCAGGAGUCAUUGAUGAUUUUCCACUGUGGACCACAGUCCUUGUCUCUCUGGCAGUCAUAAAUAUGCCCCAGUUUUAGCAAGAGCCUUCUCUAUACAACAUCAGCUGGAGCUAUUGAUACAUUUCCAUGGUUGAAUAUGAUCCUUAUUGCUCUGGCUGUUAUAAUCGUGCCCCAGGAUUAGCAGGUGCCUUCUUCCCUGUGCUGACAAUAUAGAAAUCACACCGGCAACCAGUUAAAGUGGUGAAAACUUGACUCAACCGUCCUGUUGUGUGUCCCUGUGCGCCACACUAAGCAUGGAGAAGAGAAAGAGACGCAAAGAAUUGUCUGAGGAAUUGAGAACAAAAAUUGUGGAAAAGCAUGGACAAUCUCAAGGUUACAAGUCCAUCUCCAGAGAUCUUAAUAUUCCUGUGUCCACUGUGCGCAACAUUGUCAAGAAGUUUACAGCCCAUGGCACUGUAGCUAAUCUCCCUGUACGUGGACUAUUUUGUGAUACCUUCCAAGAAUUCUUCCUGAGGGCCCAGGCUUCAGGUUGCUUAUGUGAUCUCUGGACAUUCAUACAAUCUUGUGUAUAUUAUUAACUGAUAAAUUAAUCUAUCAGAGGCA
Bombina bombina (fire-bellied toad) is the source of this 1393-nucleotide RNA transcript. RefSeq lists it as uncharacterized. The record is from RefSeq and is a predicted model, not a curated record. The transcript is spliced from 5 exons. NCBI's taxonomy places the organism in Eukaryota, Metazoa, Chordata, Amphibia, Anura, Bombinatoridae.